Molecule: long non-coding RNA, 827 nt
Filed under: Theobroma cacao (cacao)
Lineage: Eukaryota; Viridiplantae; Streptophyta; Magnoliopsida; Malvales; Malvaceae
Description: long non-coding RNA (TCAC_LNC001220)
Source: RNAcentral
UCCCCCUAAUGAUCCAAUUGGGAUAAUGGGGCUUCGUUAGCACUUACCAUCAAUUUAACAUUUCCAUAAUGUCAAUUACAUACUAUAAACCCUAAAAGUUAUCUUUUAGCUAACUUUCAAUUGCCAUUUAAAUGGCCAUCCAUUUUCACUUUCCUAUCACUCCAAAGUAAUUAACAAUCUCAACUACAAAAUAUUCACAAAUCAAAUCUCUAGUCAUUCUCAACACUUAAAACCCAAAACUAGUUUACUACUCACUUUGAUAGCUUUGUAACUUUGAACUUCUUUCCAAAAGCUCUCAAGCUAUUAAUAAAGCUUCAUCUUUCUCUCUCUAAAACACCUAACUAGUGAGAGAUUAUGUAAACAAGAUUUUCAUCAUUUUCAAGGGUUUUAAAGUGAGAGAGUGGAAGAAUACAAGGGUUCUAGUCAAAAGGGCACCAGGGUAUGAAAAUUAGAGCUAGAGAGAGAAAGUUAUGAAAGCUUCACAUCAAGCUUCCAUGGAGGAAUUGAAGAAACGUGAGAGGGAAGAGAACAAGAAGAAGAAGCUACUAGAAAUCCCAAGAAGUUGCUAGAAGGAGAGGAUAUUUAUGGCCCAAGCUUAUCCACUCCCUUGAAAAUUACUAAAAUGCCCCUCCAUAAAUUAGCUUAAUCCUUGAAAUCCCACACUUUUUCUUCAAUUUUCCCACCUAAGGUUUGUGUUCUUUCCUUUCCUCUUCACUUCAUGCUUUGGCCGACCAUAUGGGUGAGACUAAGAGAGUUUUAAAUAGAUUUUACAAGGAAAUUCUAGAAUAAUCCAAGCUUGACACAUGGCAUGUUUCCAUUGGUCCAUG